GACGAACGCUGGCGGCGUGCCUAAUACAUGCAAGUAGAACGCUGAAGAGAGGAGCUUGCUCUUCUUGGAUGAGUUGCGAACGGGUGAGUAACGCGUAGGUAACCUGCCUGGUAGCGGGGGAUAACUAUUGGAAACGAUAGCUAAUACCGCAUGAAAUGGAUUAUCGCAUGAUAAUUCAUUGAAAGGUGCAAAUGCAUCACUACCAGAUGGACCUGCGUUGUAUUAGCUAGUUGGUGGGGUAACGGCUCACCAAGGCGACGAUACAUAGCCGACCUGAGAGGGUGAUCGGCCACACUGGGACUGAGACACGGCCCAGACUCCUACGGGAGGCAGCAGUAGGGAAUCUUCGGCAAUGGACGGAAGUCUGACCGAGCAACGCCGCGUGAGUGAAGAAGGUUUUCGGAUCGUAAAGCUCUGUUGUAAGAGAAGAACGAGUGUGAGAGNGGAAAGUUCACACNGNGACGG
Molecule: ribosomal RNA, 465 nt
Filed under: uncultured bacterium
Lineage: Bacteria
Description: bacterial SSU rRNA
Rfam family: Bacterial small subunit ribosomal RNA
Source: RNAcentral